Molecule: long non-coding RNA, 4957 nt
Filed under: Marmota monax (woodchuck)
Lineage: Eukaryota; Metazoa; Chordata; Mammalia; Rodentia; Sciuridae
Source: RNAcentral
AGAAAAGCUGAGAUAGGUGGGCAAGAAAGGCUUUCUAGAAGACAAGAUGAAAGUGCAUAUGUGUCAGGUAGGUGAGUGGGGGGUGAACAGGGGGCAGCAGGACCAGUGGCAGUAUUUAGGAAUAGCAGGCUUGGGUGAAUUUUAAGUAAAAUUCAGUCUUCAGUGGAGACCUUAACUCUUACAUCUUUUGCUUUGUAUCUUUUGUAGUCACAAGUCCUGCAACUGGUUUGAAGGCAAAUUCCAAGCCAGCAAGGCAGUGGGAGGGGAGGGGGGGUAAAAGAAAAAUGUGGCACCCCUUUUUGAAAAAGGGCUGCAACCAUUUAGUGGAUUAUUUAACAUUGUGGAAUGCAAUAGGUCAGAGACUGGCUCACCUUUCAGUGUAACUGCAACCCCAACGAGCAAUCUCUGAAAUUGCUUGAAGACAUUUGGACCAGCAAAUGCAUAUGCAUCAGGGCCUGCUUAAAGAUUUAAAGGAUAAGCUGGUUAAUAGAAUUAAUUUGAUAUAUCUGGUAUAAUUCAGUGGAGCACAUGAGUGUGCUUCAGCACUCAGAACGGGUGGGAAUGGAACAAAUCCUUGCACUGGUCAUUAAAGAAGGAUUAGUUGGUCUCUUGAAAGGGUAAGCCCAUGGCUUCCACUCCUCUCUAGCUGUAUGUACAAUGGAUGUCUUGGUAAAUAGUUACGUUACAGACAAUUUAUGAGGAAUUUAGACUGUUGAAAUAUAUUCCCACCCACCUACCUUGCUCCCUCCCUCCCUCCUUUCUUCUUUCUUUCUUCUUCCUUCCUUCCUUCCUUCCUUCUUGCCACUACAUACUCAUUGCAUGGCCUUAUCUGAUCCCUUUGUUUUAUCUCUGAAGCCAAGAGGGUAUGCAGAGAAGACCCAAGCAUUAUACACCCAUCUUUUAUGAGAUGGGACAGGUAGGCACAAGUCAUCCCCACCCUUGUCUGGGGGUGAGGACCCUGGAGGACACAGUGGCUAGCUGCCUCAGAUUAAAAUAUGGCCUGGCCCAGUACCGAGGAUGCUGCUAGGAGCUGAGAGGUAAGUCAGCCAAAAGAAUUGAAUAUUUAUUGCAGUUCACCAAGAUGUCAAUGUCUCCAUAUUUUUCAGCUGAAACCCGACUUUGUGGAACCAAAUGUCUAGUUUUUUUUGAAGGUGAUUCAAAACAGGAGUAAAUUGUAUUUUUCUGGGAGAAAUAAGUGGUUCUCCUCAUUUUGUGAUGCCAAAUUAGGGAGACCUUUGGCCCAGGAAAAGGAAAGAAUGGUCGGGAGGAAGUUUUAAGAUGAGAAAAGUUCUUUUUAUGCCAUUCACAAUGAUAUAGUUUUUUAAAAUCCCUCAUAUAUGAUAUUUUAAGGUAUAAAACUGGAAAAGUGGAACACUUUUUCACUCUGGAAAAUGUAAUUUGGGAAUUAAUGCUGAGUAUUUCUGCUGGGUCUGUGUCUAUGGCCUGCAUGAUCAUCAACAUACUUUGUUACUGAGAAGAAUAUUUGAGGGAAAUUUUCACAAAAGAAAAAAAAAGGCAUACAUUUUCUAUUUGCACAAGAGGAUGUCAUGGCUCUGUUAUGGGGAGUCUCCUAGAUCCAGUAUUGUGACUGGUAGAUAGGAAUCAUGUAGAAAACAAAACAGAUGAAAAAUCACAUGGUGAUGUGAUUGAGGACUCUUUUGACCCAAAUGGUAUAUAUAUUAAUUCACUGUCUUGAAUACAUUCUCUUUCUAAACUAGAGUUCGUCUUGGAAGUCAGCCAUUGUUUCCAUGUUGCCUUCCCACUCCUCUUAAAAUAUGAACAGGUGGAAACUUGGGUCUAGAGCAAAAAGAUGGCCCAGGCAGAUGGCUCAGAUCUGAUUGGUCUUGGGCAAGUCCCUUGGCCUCAUCUGCCUCACAGUCCCUGACUGUAAAGUGGGGAGAGCGGUGCUCAGUGGCUAUGGAGCUUCAACGAGAAUGUUUUGACAACAAGUGGCAUGGUGACAUGCAGCUCAAAUCUUCAAUAUCAUCCAACCUUCUUCCUUUUGCUCUUCAACAAAAAUCCUGACUCACAUACCGUGUGUGCCCAGUAAGGACAAGCUUUGCAUUGCACGAAAGCUCUGCUCCUGAGUCAGUGAGGAAGCCCCUUGUCUACCUCAGUGGCAGCCUCUUGGCUAUUGCACAGGGUCCUCAGGCAGUCCCAUAGCUGUUUGCAAUGUAAAUGGUGCUGACAAAGCCCAGGGGCAGGGUUGUGGCAGAGCAUCCCUCUCUACUCUCACCCAACAGGACUUUUCUAUGCCAGAACAGAUAGGAUCUCUGUUGGAUCCAAACAGGUCAAGGAAGAAAGGCAAAGAGAAAUGAGGAAAGAAGACAGAGGGCAAUAGGGGGAUAAAGAGAGAGGAAUGCAAUAAAUGUGUUUUUGAAACUCUCUUCUAAUUCUUUGGGGAAAAAAAGACAGCAGUGUUGAGCUAAUGCCCCCAAAAUAGAUCUGAGCAAACAUUUGCCAAUGAUCUGGAAAUGAAAAAUCUUUCCUGACACUUCUCUUUAAGUCGUAGUGAACAUGCGACUCUGGGAAGGAGGGUAGUGCAGAGCCCAGGUCUUGCCUACCCGUUGGAAGGUUCCCUCAGGGAGCCCUGCCGAAGUUUAGACCUGGCUUGUGAUGAGAAGACCUCUGAAUACUGUGGUUUGGGAUUUUGCUUGUGCUUAAUUUUCAUCUGUGAUUUUGUCUCAUCCCCAAGAAAACCAGGCCUUGCCUAAUCGAAAUCAGACAGCUAGGCCACACACACUGGCAAACGUGCAUGCCAUCUUGGCUCUCUUUACAAAGCUCAUGGGCCUCUCUUCAGAGGAAGGGAAGAGGGAGGUAGAAAUGGGAGUUAAAGGGUGAUCAGUCUUCCUCUUGUCUUUAAAUCUAAACCAACAAUUUAUACUCUUGAGUUAUUCGGGGGGAAUGGUAAUUGACAUUAAUAAAAGAAAUGAUGGUAUGUAAAAUAAGUUUGGGAUGUGGGCUUAAUGUCUUUGUUUUGUUUUUCCUGGAAGGACAUUGAUGCGCUGAAGGUGGAUGUGCUGACUCUCACUCCUGUUGGUUGGACUGUCAACAUGGAUUGACACUGACCUGUCAGCGUGAUUGACACACUACUCCUUGUUCCUCCUGUUCCCACUCGAGAUGCCGCUCUGUCUUGGUUCCCUCCCACGUUAUUGGCAUUGUCUUCCUCUUGGGGAGACUUGGGCUCAGUCUCAGUCCCUCCCCUGUACUGGGAGCAUGGGCUCAUUGUGUGGUCACCCUGGUUUCCAGCCUUAACUACCGUACAUUUGCUGAUAUCUUCAGCAUUCUCUCCCACCAAUUAUCUUGAUUCACAUUUUCAAUGACAUAAGUGACACUUAUAUGUAAAUGAAUAAACGUAUCACACACGCAAAUAUCUAGUAAACAUCCAACAGGUAAUAGCCCCACACUUUGGAUUUCUUCCCUCCCUCUUUAUUCUCUACCAACAGCUCUUGAUCUCAAUAUAGUUUUGUGUGAAAAGUACCUUUUGAUGCAGGGUACCAUUUUCCUAUUACUUAGGGCAAACAUAUAGGACUCAUCCUUGAGUCUUCUCAUUCCCUAAAUUCUACAUCUAAAUUGACUCCAUGUCUUAACUACAUUUCUUUCAAAAUAUGUCCUGAAUCUGUUUUUUUUACCACUGAUGUUUCAUUCCAAGACAUGGUCAUCUUUUGCAUAGACAGCUGUGAUUGUCUUCUGACCAGUGCCUCCAGGACACACUCGCUCUCCAAAGCCAAUUAACAAAGCUGCAUGAUUAAAAACUAGCCAACCAAACUAGCAAACACACAAGCAAACAGAAAUCAGCUCAUGCUACUUUCCUCUUCAAACACCUCCCACGAUUUCGGACAAGAAUGAAUGAUGAACUCUCCCCCAUCUCUUAAAGUCCCAUGAGUCUGACUCCCACUUACCUCUCUGACCUCAUAGAUCACUACUGUCCCUCUUACUUUCCUGAAGACACAUCAGUGUUUUAUCUACUCUGAACAGGACCAUUAAUCUUAGGACCUUUGCACUGGCUACCACUGGUCAGGACUGUUUGUCUCAGAUCAUCAAUAGCUUUUUGUCACUAGUUCACUGAAACAAUAAGUAUUUUGGCUUCUCUGACUCUCAGAUGCCCCUUUCUGUGAGAUGAUGUAAGGAUAGCCUUAGGCCUUAGGAUAGCCUAAGCAACUCCAUUUUAAAACUCCAGUUUGAAACCUGCAGUCUCACCAGGUACCACUAUGGAGCCCUCCAGUAUGGCCCUCAGGCACAAACAAGUCACUUCUCUCCACCCUGACAAACUCAGAGUGAAGUCUCUGUUUUUUUUUGCCCUCGCCCUGAUAAGAGCUAGAAGCAAGAAAAUCAGGGCGGGGACCACCAGACCAGAUGCUUUAACCUCAGGAUGAAUGACGUCACUGAGAAAUCAAGUAGUAGCUAACGGGGAUUGAAAGGGUGGUCAGAAGCCCCCAAAUUUAGUAUAAAUAAUGGAGCAAAUGAACAGACAUUUAGCCAGCCGACACUGAUGCACAUAAGCCUGAGAGCCUGAGGAGGACCUGGACUGACAUCCCAACUCUUCUCAGCAGCCUGAUCCUCUGCGUUGUUCUCAAGGCUCUCAAACUCUACAGCAGCCUUUUGACUCUGGUGAGACAAGGACUCAGCUCCACCCCAGGAAAAGCCUGCCUUGGUUCCUGAUCUGAUCACAUGGUCUGAGUGAGUGUGCAUCUGCUGGACUUAGAGCUUAAGGCUUGAGACUUUUGAUGUGACAUUUGAGCUUAGCAUGCAGAGGGAAUGUCUGCCAUGAACCUGGCAUGAUUAAGUGUGUUUGCAAUGCUUAGAAGCAAUCUAGAAUUGUUUGCUGUGAAUUAAUUAUGUCCAUUUCAGUGCCUAGCAUUGAGGAUUGUCAUUUUCUUGAUUAAGAAACUAUAGAGUGAAAUUGUAUUGAGUGAUUUGAAUGAAUAAAGCAUUGAAAAGGACAGAAGUGCGUGGA